AUACAUAGGGGGCAAGCGUUAUCCGGAAUUAUUGGGCGUAAAGGGUGCGUAGGCGGUCUAUUAAGUCUGAGGUGUAAGUGCAGGGCUCAACCCUGUGAUGUUUUAGAAACUGGUAGACUUGAGUGAGAUAGAGGCAAGUGGAAUUCCAUGUGUAGCGGUAAAAUGCGUAAAUAUAUGGAGGAACACCAGUGGCGAAGGCGGCUUGCUGGGUCUAUACUGACGCUGAGGCACGAAAGCGUGGGGAGCAAACAGGAUUAGAUACCCUGGUAGUCCACGCCGUAAACGAUGAGUACUAAGUGUUGCGAGAACGCAGUGCUGAAGUUAACAUAUUAAGUACUCCGCCUGAGUAGUACGUACGCAAGUAUGAAACUCAAAGGAAUUGACGGGG
RNAcentral lists this ribosomal RNA (388 nucleotides) under uncultured bacterium. RNAcentral's name for it is "partial 16S ribosomal RNA". It matches the Rfam family "Bacterial small subunit ribosomal RNA", at positions 523 to 918 of the family's 1533-position model. The record is from RNAcentral.